GCCUAACACAUGCAAGUCGAGCGGUAACAGAUCCAGCUUGCUGGAUGCUGACGAGCGGCGGACGGGUGAGUAAUGCAUAGGAAUCUGCCCGAUAGUGGGGGAUAACCUGGGGAAACCCAGGCUAAUACCGCAUACGUCCUACGGGAGAAAGGGGGCUUCGGCUCCCGCUAUCGGAUGAGCCUAUGUCGGAUUAGCUAGUUGGUGAGGUAAAGGCUCACCAAGGCAACGAUCCGUAGCUGGUCUGAGAGGAUGAUCAGCCACAUCGGGACUGAGACACGGCCCGAACUCCUACGGGAGGCAGCAGUGGGGAAUAUUGGACAAUGGGGGCAACCCUGAUCCAGCCAUGCCGCGUGUGUGAAGAAGGCCCUCGGGUUGUAAAGCGCUUUCAGCGGGGAAGAACGCCUAGCGGUUAAUACCCGCUAGGAAAGACAUCACUCGCAGAAGAAGCACCGGCUAACUCCGUGCCAGCAGCCGCGGUAAUACGGAGGGUGCAAGCGUUAAUCGGAAUUACUGGGCGUAAAGCGCGCGUAGGUGGCUUGAUAAGCCGGUUGUGAAAGCCCCGGGCUCAACCUGGGAACGGCAUCCGGAACUGUCAAGCUAGAGUGCAGGAGAGGAAGGUAGAAUUCCCGGUGUAGCGGUGAAGUGCGUAGAGAUCG
RNAcentral lists this ribosomal RNA (656 nucleotides) under uncultured bacterium. RNAcentral describes it as "bacterial SSU rRNA". It matches the Rfam family "Bacterial small subunit ribosomal RNA", at positions 46 to 699 of the family's 1533-position model. The record is from RNAcentral.